AGAUUGAACGCUGGCGGCAUGCCUUACACAUGCAAGUCGAACGGCAGCACGGGGGCAACCCUGGUGGCGAGUGGCGAACGGGUGAGUAAUGCAUCGGAACGUGCCCAGUAGUGGGGGAUAACUAGUCGAAAGAUUAGCUAAUACCGCAUACGACCUAUGGGUGAAAGCGGGGAUUCGCAAGACCUCGCGCUAUCGGAGCGGCCGAUGUCUGAUUAGCUAGUUCGGACGGGUAAACGCCCACAAGGCUUCGAUCGAGUAGCUGUCUGAGAGGACGACCAG
This 279-nucleotide ribosomal RNA is filed under the name uncultured soil bacterium. RNAcentral describes it as "partial 16S ribosomal RNA". It matches the Rfam family "Bacterial small subunit ribosomal RNA", at positions 26 to 307 of the family's 1533-position model. The record is from RNAcentral.